CGCAACGCGAAGAACCUUACCAAGGCUUGACAUAUACAGGAAUAUGGCAGAGAUGUCAUAGCCGCAAGGUCUGUAUACAGGUGGUGCAUGGUUGUCGUCAGCUCGUGUCGUGAGAUGUUGGGUUAAGUCCCGCAACGAGCGCAACCCUCGUUCUGUGUUGCCAGCAUUUAGUUGGGGACUCACAGGAGACUGCCGGGGUUAACUCGGAGGAAGGUGGGGAUGACGUCAAAUCAUCAUGCCCCUUAUGUCUUGGGCUGCACGCAUGCUACAAUGGCUGGUACAAACGGCUGCAAUACCGCAAGGUGGAGCGAAUCCGAGAAAGCCAGUCUCAGUUCGGAUUGGGGUCUGCAACUCGACCCCAUGAAGUCGGAGUUGCUAGUAAUCGUGGAUCA
This 392-nucleotide ribosomal RNA is filed under the name uncultured Actinomycetes bacterium. Its description in RNAcentral is "bacterial SSU rRNA". It matches the Rfam family "Bacterial small subunit ribosomal RNA", at positions 955 to 1351 of the family's 1533-position model. The record is from RNAcentral. Lineage: Bacteria; Bacillati; Actinomycetota; Actinomycetes.